GUCCACGCGGUAAACGAUGAGCGCUAGACGUUGGACAGGUGACUGUUAGGUGUCGAAGCUAACGCGCUAAGCGCUCCGCCUGGGGAGUACGGCCGCAAGGUUGAAACUCAAAGGAAUUGACGGGGGCCCCGCACAAGCGGUGGAGCAUGUGGUUUAAUUCGAUGCAACGCGAAGAACCUUACCUGGUCUUGACAUCCAGAGAACCUUCAGAAAUGAAGGGUGCCGCGAGGAGCUCUGAGACAGGUGCUGCAUGGCUGUCGU
Molecule: ribosomal RNA, 261 nt
Filed under: uncultured bacterium
Lineage: Bacteria
Description: partial 16S ribosomal RNA
Rfam family: Bacterial small subunit ribosomal RNA
Source: RNAcentral